RNAcentral lists this transfer RNA (72 nucleotides) under Fragilariopsis cylindrus CCMP1102. It matches the Rfam family "tRNA". From Rfam's summary of the family: Transfer RNA (tRNA) molecules are approximately 80 nucleotides in length. Their secondary structure includes four short double-helical elements and three loops (D, anti-codon, and T loops). The record is from Rfam by way of RNAcentral. Lineage: Eukaryota; Bacillariophyta; Bacillariophyceae; Bacillariales; Bacillariaceae.
GUCCAAUUGGUCUAGAGGUAUGAUUCCUGCUUCGGGUGCAGGAGGUCCCGAGUUCGAUUCUCGGAUUGGACC